Syngnathus typhle (broad-nosed pipefish) is the source of this 2871-nucleotide RNA transcript. It is a transcript of the gene named TAR DNA binding protein a, with no coding region annotated. The transcript has 7 exons. The record is from RefSeq and is a predicted model, not a curated record. NCBI's taxonomy places the organism in Eukaryota, Metazoa, Chordata, Actinopteri, Syngnathiformes, Syngnathidae.
GCUAACUCAGAGGUAGCCGCUGGCGCGUGUGGUAUAAUUGCGUGCAUUGUGCGUAGCAAAGCUCGUAUUUCAAUUCCACCGUCGUAUUUCGAAUUUUUGUUUUACUCCAAUCUGGUUUGACCAUAAAACCGUAGGUAAGGAGAUUACGUUUGUAUUUGUUGACUGCGAGUCCACAUCUAGACUGGACGGUCAGUCAUUUCUCAAGCCCUCUCGAGUUUGCUAGCUUCGGUGGCAAGCUAGCUAACUUGUUUGUCGUCGACAAAGGAGAUAAGUGACGCAUUUCGUGCGCCCCCUCAGCUCAAUAAAAUCAAACGUUCGAGUAUCUCCAGUUGUGUGGGUGUCAACGUUCGAUAUUCUUUUCGUGUUUCUAUUUGCUUCUGGGCGGAGCAAAUUCGAGUAACGAACUCAAGCGCAUUCUUUUGCGUGUUUAGCUUCCUCGUAGCGAGGUAGCACCAAGAGGCUUCAAGCUGGCUACCGGCCUUUCAGAGAACAUGUCCGAGUUGUACAUUCGGGUGGCCGAGGAUGAGAACGAAGAGCCGAUGGAGAUCCCCUCGGAGGACGACGGCACGGUUCUGCUGUCGUCGGUUGCGGCCCAGUUUCCAGGGGCGUGCGGGCUUCGCUAUAGAAAUCCGGAGUCCCAGUGCAUGCGUGGAGUUCGGCUUGUGGAGGGCGUCCUGCAUGCGCCAGAGAGCGACUGGGGGAACCUGGUCUACGUGGUCAACUACCCCAAAGAUAACAAAAGAAAGAUGGAGGAAAUAGAUGCCGCCUCAGCUGUGAAAGUCAAAAGGGGUUACCAGAAGACAUCAGACCUUAUUGUCCUCGGCCUGCCAUGGAAAACCACAGAGCAAGACUUAAAGGAAUAUUUCUCCACCUUUGGCGAGGUCAUCAUGGUACAGAUCAAGAGGGAUGCAAACACAGGCAACUCCAAAGGAUUUGGCUUUGUGCGUUUCACUGAAUAUGAAACCCAGGUGAAAGUGAUAUCUCAGAGGCACAUGAUAGAUGGACGAUGGUGUGACUGCAAGCUCCCCAAUUCAAAGGCAGAUGUUUGCGGUGCUUUUCCUGACGAGCCCAUGCGGAGUCGUAAGAUCUUUGUGGGCCGCUGCACGGAGGACAUGACCCCCGAUGAGCUGCGGCAGUACUUCAUGCAAUAUGGAGAAGUCACUGAUGUCUUCAUCCCCAAGCCCUUCCGGGCGUUCGCCUUUGUUACGUUUGCUGACGACCAGGUGGCCCAGGCCCUGUGCGGAGAGGACCUGAUCAUCAAAGGCGUCAGCGUGCACAUCUCCAACGCUGAGCCCAAACACAACAAUAGUAGGCAAAUGAUGGAACGAGGGCGCUUUGGGGCUGGCGGCUUCAGUCAGGCGUACGGCGCUAGUCGCGGCGGGCUGGGCGCGGGCGGAGGGGGCAAGGGCGGGGUCAACUUCAGUGCCCUGGGGCUCAACCCGGCCAUGGUGGCAGCCGCCCAGGCGGCAUUGCAGAGCAGCUGGGGCAUGAUGGGCAUGCUGGCCAACCAGCAGGGGAUGAGCACGGCGGCCGGCGGCACGGCCGCCACCACCCGCGAUCAGACGUACGGCUCCACCAGCACCAGUUACAGCAGCCCCACAACAGCCAGCCUGGGCUGGCCGGCAGGCACUAACUCUGCCUCAGGCAGCGGCUUCAGCUCGGGCUUCGGCACCUCCAUGGAGACCAAGUCCUCCAACUGGGGCAUGUAGAUAAGUAGGCGGCAGUUGUGUCGGUAUCCUAGGCCAGGGCUCGGGGCCCGCCGUCAAAUUAGGAAAAGCGUUUAGUUUGAGGUGUUUGUCAGUUUAGCGUGGCCCUUUGAGACUGUACCAACAUUUUCGAGUCCUUGGUCUAGGCUCUUCCGGUAAGUACUAUAUAAAAAAAAAAAAACACUGCCUUUUUUUUGUUAAGUCAGAAUGUGUGUGAGUGACAUUAGUCAUGAGUGGGUUUAGUUAGCUGCCUUUCAGAAAACCAUGUGCAUGCGGCGUUGUUUGUAAACGUGCGAGAGUACCACCAGACCGCCAGGCCCUCUCAAGAGGGCUUGAUAUCCUUGUGUUGUGUAUGCAGUGCACUUCUACUUUUUUUUCUGAUCUGAUGGAAACGCCUUGCCGACCAUCUCUCCUGCAGUUAACCAACUGUUUCGCACGCUCCCGGGAGGAAGCGCCUCACUGGCGGCAAUGUUCUACAGAUCUCAGUAUCACGUGUAAACGCUUUGCCAUCAACACCACACAAGCUUCACUCUGCAUUUACUGUACUCCACGGGGCCCUCGGACACGGAUCGUCGGAACCAGGAGUCACUCACGGGGGGAGUUGAAGACCGCGGGAGAAACCACAAUGGAAUUUCUACACGAAUGCCUUAAAUCCAGAAAAAGGAUCUUCAAUCCCGCCCCGCGAGAAACCUUGGACCCCCUCAUGUUUAAGUGGCCCCAAGUCCCACUGACAACCAGUCUAAUCUAACAUACAGGAAGCCGCCUGUUCUUGUUUUGUUUCGUUGUGAAGUACAUUUGGUGCACACAAGUUGAGCAUAUGAACCGAUAUUAUGGACAAAGGACAUAAUUUAGUCAUGUGGAAAAAUAAACGCAUUUGAGUUGUUCACAUGUCUGUCAUUGGAGAUGAAAAGCAGAUUUAUUUGUACUCCACUUUGAGCUCUGUUUAUUGUGAGCCCAUGUCUGACCGCCUCCAUAGCAUCAUUGUUUAUUUUGAUAGCUACGCGUUUCAUUUGCUGGUGAUUCGGUGUCUAGUGAGAUUUAGUGCACCCGAUUCUGACUGCCUUGUAAAUUUCCAUGUCAAUUUUAUUUUAAAUUAAGUGAUUGCGGAAACGAACGAUUCAAGAUGGACAUGUUCCCUUCAAGGAGAUUAAACUUUAAACCUAUA